ACUUAUUUUGUAAACAUUAUUUACUGAGCAUGAUCGAACAGCUAGACUGGAGAGGCUGCUGCAAGUCUCCUCCCUCUGCCUCCAGCCACUCCGCACUACCCGUCCUUGCUGGUGUCUGGAAUCAGCGGGGCCCUGGCAGAGUGCACAGGAAAGGAAAUGGCUCAUUGCUUCAGCCUUUACACCCGAGGGCAGGGAGGGCCUGUCGGGCAGCCGCCUAGUCAGGGGUGUGUCAGAGGCCAGAGGGGCCGGGGCCCAGCAGCUGGGGCUUGGUAAGCUCUAGAGCCUGGGCUCCAGGCCAGCUUGCUGCUAACCUCCACCUGAGACCACCCCACCCCCAACCCCUUCCUUCUCUCCCCUGCUGCGGAGGCGCGCCCUUCCGGAGUGAAACUUGGUUUGGUUUCUCACGACCCAGAAGGCUUGAAGCAAACCUGCAAUUACUCACCGCCUGGUCUGUGCCGGCUGCAGCUCUCAGACUCUGGAUGAGGUGGCGGUGGCGCUGUCGACCUGACUCCUUGGCUUGUUCCGGCUGUGCAACCUCAGUUUCUCCUCCACGAUGGCUGCCCUCAUCUGCUCAUCCUCACUUGGCCUUCAGCAGUGCUCAGCUGACAUAGAUGAGGGAAUAGGAGUGACUCGUCAUCACAGUCGCCGUGUACUCGAGACAGACGCUCAGGUGGAAGCCAGUUCCCAUAGGACUCACAGCGGGAGACACAGCGGAGCGUCCAGUGCUUCCUCGGCUAGCCGUGUCCCACGAUGGCAGAGAUGGGAUCUUUCUCCGUCACCCAGGUUGGAGUGCAAUGGUUAUUCACAGGUGUGAUCAUAGCUGGUCUUGACCUCCGUGGGCUCAAGUGAUCCUCCUGCCUCAGCCUCCUGAAUAGCUGGAACUACAGGUGCGUGCCACCACACUUGGCUUACCAUUAUUUUAGAAGGACUUAUACCUGUCUUGCCAUCUGGAGUCUGCAGAUUUCUUGCCUGAGGUAAGCUCAAGCAGGGCCUGUUGUCUGGAACAAGACCUGUUCAAAAUGUUUGCCUUAAUGCUACAGUAGUAAUGGUGAUAGUCAAUAAUAGCUUGCUGUGGGUCAGGUACUGUUCUGAGAACAGAAGUUCUCAAAGGAGUCUUGGACUCUGAGGAUGGCUGAAACACUUUGGGGUGGGGGUGUCCACAAGACCAAACUAUUAUUAUCUGAGACAGAGUCUUGCUCUGUUGCCCAGGCUGGAGUGCAAUGGCACGAUCUUGGCUCACUGCAACUUCCGCCUCCUGGGUUCAAGUGAUUCUC
Molecule: non-coding RNA, 1274 nt
Organism: Chlorocebus sabaeus (green monkey)
Lineage: Eukaryota; Metazoa; Chordata; Mammalia; Primates; Cercopithecidae
Source: RefSeq, a predicted model, not a curated record